CAACUGACGCUGAGGCGCGAAAGCGUGGGGAGCAAACAGGAUUAGAUACCCUGGUAGUCCACGCUGUAAACGAUGGAUACUAGGUGUGGGGGGACUGACCCCUUCCGUGCCGGAGUUAACGCAAUAAGUAUCCCACCUGGGGAGUACGGCCGCAAGGCUGAAACUCAAAGGAAUUGACGGGGGCCCGCACAAGCAGUGGAGUAUGUGGUUUAAUUCGAAGCAACGCGAAGAACCUUACCAGGGCUUGACAUCCCUCUAACGAAGCAGAGAUGCAUAAGGUACCCUUCGGGGGAAGAGGAGACAGGUGGUGCAUGGUUGUCGUCAGCUCGUGUCGUGAGAUGUUGGGUUAAGUCCCGCAACGAGCGCAACCCUUAUUGUUAGUUGCUACGCAAGAGCACUCUAGCGAGACUGCCGUUGACAAAACGGAGGAAGGCGGGGACGACGUCAAAUCAUCAUGCCCCUUAUGUCCUGGGCUACACACGUACUACAAUGGCGGCCAACAAAGUGAAGCGAAGCGGUGACGUGGAGCGAAUCACAAAAAGCCGCCCCAGUUCAGAUUGCAGGCUGCAACCCGCCUGCAUGAAGGUGGAAUGCUAGUAA
This 600-nucleotide ribosomal RNA is filed under the name uncultured bacterium. Its description in RNAcentral is "bacterial SSU rRNA". It matches the Rfam family "Bacterial small subunit ribosomal RNA", at positions 737 to 1341 of the family's 1533-position model. The record is from RNAcentral.